RNAcentral lists this long non-coding RNA (311 nucleotides) under Lathyrus oleraceus (garden pea). RNAcentral's name for it is "Pisum sativum (pea) long non-coding RNA (PSAT_LNC013418)". The record is from RNAcentral. Lineage: Eukaryota; Viridiplantae; Streptophyta; Magnoliopsida; Fabales; Fabaceae.
ACUAGAACUAGCAGACAAGGUUGCAAGGAAUUUGGGUGAAAUUCAAAUUGAAUAUGAGGGAGGAAAAUUAGGGAUUUGGAAUCUUGUGAAAUUAUGGAAAUUAAAGUGGAAAAAUAAAAGAAAUAAAAAUAGUGUCUGCCCUUUUAAAAGAAAGAGCCACAUUAAUGACAAAUCAUUCCCUAGCAUUGAAAAUAAUAUCUAUUCCUUUAGCACACGCUACCUAAACACAACAAUCUCCAUUUCCAUUCAACUUCUCAGAGAAGCUCAGCUAGGGCAAAGAAACUUUUCUCAAAAGUCCUACAACAUGUCUC